CUUGGACUCUUUUUCUUCUAUCUCUCCUAAUAUGUGCCUAAACUUAUCUCUCUUAUACUUAUUUAUGUUGGUUAGCCAUUAUUUCUUAUAAUUUCUUCUCCUUCCUAUGUUGCAUUAUUAUCCUUUUCUCCUUCUAUUUGUAACUUUGAUGCCUUUUAUUUCUCUCUUCCUUCUUGUCCAUAACCUCUGGAUGAACAUUCCAACAAGAACUUUCAUCAUGUCCUUGUAGACAACACUCUUUGC
This 243-nucleotide long non-coding RNA is filed under the name Capsicum annuum. Its description in RNAcentral is "long non-coding RNA (CANN_LNC011583)". The record is from RNAcentral. Lineage: Eukaryota; Viridiplantae; Streptophyta; Magnoliopsida; Solanales; Solanaceae.